AACGAACGCUGGCGGCGUGGAUUAGGCAUGCAAGUCGAACGAGGAAGUGCCCCGUAAGGGGCGCAAGCCUAGUGGCGAAAGGGUGAGUAAUGCAUUGAUAACCUGCCUUUGAGAUGGGAAUAACUGCGUUUCGAGCAAUCGGAACUACCGAAAGGGCUGCUAAUACCCAAUAAUACUAUAGGUGCAAAAGCACUUGUGGUCAAAUGCUAGGAAUUCUGUUCCUUGUGCUUAAAGAGGGGUUAAUGUCCUAUCAGCUAGUUGGUGGGGUAAUGGCCUACCAAGGCAAAGACGGGUAGCCGGCUUGAGAGGGUGGUCGGCCACACUGGGACUGAGACACUGCCCAGACUCCUACGGGAGGCUGCAGUCGAGAAUCUUUCGCAAUGCCCGAAAGGGUGACGAAGCGACGCCGCGUGUGGGAAGAAGGCCUUCGGGUUGUAAACCACUGUCGGGAGUUAGGAAAUGCAGGUGCGUUAAUAGCGCACUUGCUUGACUAAGGCUCCAGAGGAAGCCACGGCUAACUCUGUGCCAGCAGCCGCGGUAAUACAGAGGCGGCAAGCGUUGUUCGGAAUUAUUGGGCGUAAAGAGCACGUAGGCGGCCUUGCAAGUCAGUUGUGAAAGCCUUCCGCUUAACGGAAGAACGGCAUCUGAUACUACAGGGCUUGAGUACGGGAGGGGAGAGUGGAACUUCUGGUGGAGCGGUGAAAUGCGUAGAUAUCAGAAGAACGCCGGCGGCGAAAGCGACUCUCUGGUCCGAAACUGACGCUGAGUGUGCGAAAGCUAGGGAGCAAACGGGAUUUAGAUACCCCCGGUAGUCCUAGCCGUAACGAUGGGCACUAGUAGAGGGGUUUUGAUUAUUUCUCUGCCGGAGCUAACGCAUUAAGUGCCCCGCCUGGGGAGUACGGCCGCAAGGCUAAAACUCAAAAGAAUUGACGGGGGCUCGCACAAGCGGUGGAGCAUGUGGCUUAAUUCGAUGCAACGCGAAGAACCUUACCGGGGCUUGACAUGGUAGAAGUAGAAUCCUGAAAGGGUGACGAUCGGUAUCCAGUCCGAAGCUAUCACAGGUGUUGCAUGGCUGUCGUCAGCUCGUGUCGUGAGACGUUGGGUUAAGUCCCCUAACGAGCGAAACCCUUGUCUUUAGUUGCUAACGGGUAAUGCUGAGCAC
Molecule: ribosomal RNA, 1162 nt
Filed under: uncultured anaerobic ammonium-oxidizing bacterium
Lineage: Bacteria
Description: bacterial SSU rRNA
Rfam family: Bacterial small subunit ribosomal RNA
Source: RNAcentral